UCUGCGGAAGGAUCAUUGAUUCCAUCGUAUCCACACCGAGAACAACCCCAUGUUGGCCUGGCCGCCAAAGGUUCACCCUUUGGCGGUCACCUGCAGCCCGGCUGGCUUGCCAGCCCGACUGUGGGGGCCGGGUUCACACCUGGCCGGCUGUUUCUCCCAUUCAAACCAAUAUUUGAAGGCAAUUGCUUGCUCACACGAGCGGCGACUAACAAAGACAACUCUCAACAACGGAUAUCUUGGCUCCCGCAACGAUGAAGAACGCAGCGAAAUGCGAUACGUAGUGUGAAUUGCAGAAUUCCGUGAACCAUCGAAUCUUUGAACGCAUAUUGCGCCCCACGGCCUCGGCCCAGGGCAUGUCUGCCUCAGCGUCUGUUUACCCCCUCUCCCCCCUCUCACAUACCGUGAGAUCGGGAAGGUUGUGGUCUUGUGCUGCGGCACUUGGCCGAAAUUCAGUGAUACUGCAGGGACCGUUAAUCGGACUCCAGCUUGGUAGGCUUUUCCCUUGUGGAAUUAUGCAUGCCGCUGUUGGCCGUGGACCACUGCAGCUGUCAAGCAGGGAAACCUUUCAAAUUUAGACCUGAGGUCAGGCAAGACCACCCGCUGAACUUAAGCAUAUCA
RNAcentral lists this ribosomal RNA (618 nucleotides) under Asterochloris lobophora. RNAcentral describes it as "eukaryotic LSU rRNA". The stretch from base 217 to 371 matches the Rfam family "5.8S ribosomal RNA". The record is from RNAcentral. Lineage: Eukaryota; Viridiplantae; Chlorophyta; Trebouxiophyceae; Trebouxiales; Trebouxiaceae.